AAUUCGAUGCAACGCGAAGAACCUUACCAGGCCUUGACAUCCCGGGAAUCCCCUGGAAACAGGGGAGUGCCCUUCGGGAACCCGGUGACAGGUGCUGCAUGGCUGUCGUCAGCUCGUGUCGUGAGAUGUUGGGUUAAGUCCCGCAACGAGCGCAACCCUUGUCUUUAAUUGCCAUCAUUUAGUUGGGCACUUUAAAGAGACUGCCGGUGUUAAGCCGGAGGAAGGUGGGGAUGACGUCAAGUCCUCAUGGCCUUUAUGCCCAGGGCUACACACGUGCUACAAUGGGCGGUACAGACGGACGCAAAGCCGCGAGGUGGAGCAAAUCCUAAAAAGCCGGUCUCAGUUCGGAUUGCAGGCUGCAAUUCGCCUGCAUGAAGUCGGAAUCGCUAGUAAUCGCAGGUCAGCAUACUCGCGGUCGAAUACGUUCCCGGGCCUU
Molecule: ribosomal RNA, 436 nt
Filed under: uncultured Syntrophaceae bacterium
Lineage: Bacteria; Pseudomonadati; Thermodesulfobacteriota; Syntrophia; Syntrophales; Syntrophaceae
Description: bacterial SSU rRNA
Rfam family: Bacterial small subunit ribosomal RNA
Source: RNAcentral